GAAAUCCCAGAGCUUAACUCUGGAACUGCCAUCAAAACUUUUCAGCUAGAGUUUGAUAGAGGAAAGCAGAAUUUCUAGUGUAGAGGUGAAAUUCGUAGAUAUUAGAAAGAAUACCAAUUGCGAAGGCAGCUUUCUGGAUCAUUACUGACACUGAGGAACGAAAGCAUGGGUAGCGAAGAGGAUUAGAUACCCUCGUAGUCCAUGCCGUAAACGAUGUGUGUUAGACGUUGGAAAUUUAUUUUCAGUGUCGCAGCGAAAGCGAUAAACACACCGCCUGGGGAGUACGACCGCAAGGUUAAAACUCAAAUGAAUUGACGGGGA
Molecule: ribosomal RNA, 321 nt
Filed under: uncultured bacterium
Lineage: Bacteria
Description: bacterial SSU rRNA
Rfam family: Bacterial small subunit ribosomal RNA
Source: RNAcentral